CUACGGGAGGCAGCAGUGAGGAAUAUUGGGCAAUGGGGGAAACCCUGACCCAGCAAUGCCGCGUGCGGGAAGACGCCUUUCGGGGUGUAAACCGCUUUUCUGCAUGAAGAGGAAGGACGGUAGUGCAGGAAUAAGUCACGGCUAACUACGUGCCAGCAGCCGCGGUAAUACGUAGGGACCGAGCGUUAUCCGGAAUUACUGGGCGUAAAGGGCACGCAGGCGGAUACAUAAGUCAGCUGUAAAAGGUGGAGGCUUAACCUUCAUUAGCGGUUGAGACUGUAUAUCUGGAGUAUUGCAGAGGUAAGCGGAAUUCCCGGUGUAGCGGUGAAAUGCGUAGAUAUCGGGAAGAACACCAGUGGCGAAGGCGGCUUACUGGGCAAAUACUGACGCUGAGGUGCGAAAGCCAGGGUAGCGAACCGGAUUAGAUACCCCGGUAGUCC
RNAcentral lists this ribosomal RNA (440 nucleotides) under uncultured bacterium. Its description in RNAcentral is "bacterial SSU rRNA". It matches the Rfam family "Bacterial small subunit ribosomal RNA", at positions 339 to 796 of the family's 1533-position model. The record is from RNAcentral.